RNAcentral lists this ribosomal RNA (1463 nucleotides) under uncultured Bordetella sp. Its description in RNAcentral is "partial 16S-23S ribosomal RNA intergenic spacer". It matches the Rfam family "Bacterial small subunit ribosomal RNA". The record is from RNAcentral. Lineage: Bacteria; Pseudomonadati; Pseudomonadota; Betaproteobacteria; Burkholderiales; Alcaligenaceae.
GUUUGAUCCCGCUCGAUUGAACGCUCGGCGGGAUGCUUCGGCAUGCAGCCGAACGGCAGCACGGACUUCGGUCUGGUGGCGAGUGGCGCAUCGGGGUGAGUAAUGUAUCGGAACGUGCCUAGUAGCGGGGAUAAUCACGCGAAAGCGUAGCUAAUACCGGCAUGCCUUCGGGGAAAGCGGGGACCUUCGGGCCUCGCACUAUUAGAGCGGCCGAUAUCGGAUUAGCUAGUUGGUGGGGUAAACGGCUCACCAAGGCGACGAUCCAGCAUGCUGGUUUGAGAGGACGACCAGCCACAUUGGGGACUGAGACACGGCCCAGACUGCAUGGGAGGCAGCAGUGGGGACUUUGGACAAUGGGGAAAAACCCCUGAUCCAGCCAUCCCGCGUGUGCGAUGAAGGCCUUCGGGUUGUAAAGCACUUUUUUGGCAGGAGAAGAAACGGCACGGUGAUACUACCUCAAAAAACUGACGGUACCUGCACUAAGCACCGCCAACUACGUACAGCAGCCGCGGCAGUAAUAAUAGUAGGCAAGCGUUAAUCGAAUUACUGGCGAAGCGUGGCAGGCGGUUUCGGAAAAGAAAGAUGUGAAAUCCCGUAUUUAACUUUGAACGUAUUUCCUUAACUACCGAGCGAGUGGAACAGAGGAGGUGGAAUUCCGCGUAGCAGGAAUGCGUAGAUAUGCGAGUAACACCGAUGGCGAACCAGCUUUUUACCUCCGAUAACACUGACGCUCAUGCACGAAAGCGUGGGGAGCAAACAGGAUAUACCCCAGAAACCACGCCUCAAACGAUGUCACCAUACGUUAAAUGGGCCUUGGUAGCGUGGCGCACAGGGCGGAAUCGCCUGGGGAGCAUGGUCACGAUUAAAACCUGCUGAACGACGGGGACCUGCACAAGUUAAAGGAUGAUGUGAUUAAUUCCGAUGCAACGCGAAAACCUUACCUACCCUUGACAUGUCUGGAAUCCUGAAGAGAUUUGGGAGUGCUCGCAAGAGAACCGGGACAGGUGCUGCAUGGCUGUCAGUCGUGUCGUGAGAUGUUGGGUUAAGUCCCGCAACGAGCGGCAACCUUGGUUGGCUAUUGCUACGCCGAAAGGCACUCUAAUGACUGCCAGACAAACCGGAGGAAGGUGGAAGACGUCAAGUCCUCAUGGCCCAUAGUAGGGCUUCACACGUCAUACAAUGGUCGGGACAGAGGGUCGCUAACCCGGGGCGAGGGGGGAGCCAAUCCCAGAAACCCGAUCGUAGUCCGGAUCGCAGUCUGCAACUCGACUGCGUGAAGUCGGAAUCAGCAGUAAUCGCGGAUUCGCAUGUCGUGGUGAAUACGUUCCCGCAAUCUUGUACACCGCCCGUCACACUCAGGUGGAGUGGGUUUACCAGAGAUAGCUUAACCGUAAUAGAGGGCGAUUACCAGGAUUCAUGAUUGGUGAAGUCGUAACAAGGUAACCUGAAGAUAUCAAUUACGC